This 417-nucleotide ribosomal RNA is filed under the name uncultured bacterium. RNAcentral describes it as "bacterial SSU rRNA". It matches the Rfam family "Bacterial small subunit ribosomal RNA", at positions 29 to 489 of the family's 1533-position model. The record is from RNAcentral.
AGCGAACGCUGGCGGCAGGCUUAACACAUGCAAGUCGAGCGGGCGUAGCAAUACGUCAGCGGCAGACGGGUGAGUAACGCGUGGGAACAUACCUUUUGGUUCGGAACAACACAGGGAAACUUGUGCUAAUACCGGAUAAGCCCUUACGGGGAAAGAUUUAUCGCCGAAAGAUUGGCCCGCGUCUGAUUAGCUUGUUGGUGAGGUAAUGGCUCACCAAGGCGACGAUCAGUAGCUGGUCUGAGAGGAUGAUCAGCCACAUUGGGACUGAGACACGGCCCAAACUCCUACGGGAGGCAGCAGUGGGGAAUAUUGGACAAUGGGCGCAAGCCUGAUCCAGCCAUGCCGCGUGAGUGAUGAAGGCCCUAGGGUUGUAAAGCUCUUUUGUGCGGGAAGAUAAUGACGGUACCGCAAGAAUAA